RNAcentral lists this ribosomal RNA (235 nucleotides) under uncultured bacterium. Its description in RNAcentral is "partial 16S ribosomal RNA". It matches the Rfam family "Bacterial small subunit ribosomal RNA", at positions 87 to 339 of the family's 1533-position model. The record is from RNAcentral.
GGCGUCGAGUGGCGGACGGGUGAGUAACGCGUAGGAAUCUACCCAUAUCUCUGACAUAACUGCUGGAAAAGGUAGCUAAUAUCAGAUGAGGCCUACGGGUCAAAGUUUUAAUGGAUAUGGAUGAGUCUGCGUCUGAUUAGCUAGUUGGUAGUGUAAUGGACUACCAAGGCAACGAUCAGUAACUGGUCUGAGAGGACGAUCAGUCACACUGGAACUGAGACACGGCCCAGACUCC